GAGAGCAGGAGACAGUGACCUUCAAGGAGUUUACAUGAAGCAGAUGUUGUGAUGCAAUGCAGUGGAUGAGCUCUCGCAGAAAACUCAAGAAAUCCAAAGCCAGAUUUCUUACAGAUAUUUAUAAACAAGCCACAACAAGACUCAUAAGGAGCAGAAGAAGGGAGAGAAGCUGUUCCUAGGAUGUGGAUUAUGGAUUGCACCUGUGCACUGGAAACAAACACAGAUUCUCCUGUGUGAGCAUGGCAGCGGUAUUGGUGUAAUGAGCUCUUCUUGGGUAAGUUAACACAACAAAUGGAUCUAGUUCCCAGUGAUGGGUCUGGGUGACAUGCUCACCCAACACAGGACAGGGAGGUAAGAAUAGGAUUAUGGGAUCUUCCAGCCCAGAGCCUGGCUUCUAGCAUCAGACAGCAUGGCCUUUUGCAUUAAGUCCACAGACAAACCCCAGUCAACACAACUGGUUCACAGAGCUCAGAGAGACACCAGCUCUAGUAAGGAGGGACAGAAAUGCAUGACCUUA
Molecule: long non-coding RNA, 517 nt
Filed under: Cyanistes caeruleus (blue tit)
Lineage: Eukaryota; Metazoa; Chordata; Aves; Passeriformes; Paridae
Description: lncRNA (ENSCCEG00000010000.1)
Source: RNAcentral